AGGAGUGAGCCAGGUUUCAGGAGGGGGCACGCAGGAGACCAGCCCUGGAUUCAGACUUGAGCCUGGUCCACACCAGAGGCCGAUAGAAGGCUUGGAUUACAGCAGGGGCAGGUUCUUUCACGAAAUCAAAUUUCUCCACUGAUUUCUGAAUUCAUAGCAAGCUAACUAGAAGAGAUUUUUAAUUCAGAAUGCUGCACUCCAAAAAACUGAGAAAGACAUUGAGGGAGGGAAUAUGGAAAUUUGAUGGUAUCUCGGCUAAGUUUGAUAUUGAGAUUUUUGUAAUAAAUGUUGUUGAAUAAAAAAGGCAUCAAGAUGCCUAAAUCAGAGAGAUAAAAUGAAGAAUAAUUACAGUAUACAAUUUUUGAAUUAUUGUCCAAUCAACUAAAAUUAGAAGUUUUUAACAUGCUAAAAUGGAAAGUUAUUCAACAGAAUGGAAUCCUUUAAAAUAUGAUGGAACUGCCACUUAAGCAUCAGAAGUCUGCUCAGGUGUGACCCUGGGAGCCCAAACUUUUCACGGAACAGCAAGGAACAUCCCUGUGCUCCUCCUUCCCAGUCUCUUUUUUUUUCAGAGGGAGUCUCGCUCUGUUGCCCAGGCUGGAGUGCAGUGGCGAGAUCUCAGCUCACUGCAAGCUCCGUCUCCCGGGUUCACGCCAUUCUCCUGCCUCAGCCUGCCGAGUAGCUGGGACAACAGGCGCCAGCCACCAUGCCCAGGUCAUACCACCCUUGACAAACUGCAGUCCCUACUGGCCAUUACACUGCAGAGCCGUGACAAUGAUGGAUCUCCUGUUUGGAAGAGAAUGACCCAGGACAAAAGGGGUGACCAAACCAUGGUCUAAGUGUGAUAUCUGAAGCUGCUUAAUCUGCAAAAGGAAACCCAGUGUGAGGAAUGGGAGAUGGAGAUGUGGAGGCCUAGUGUCUAAGGGCUGGCAUUCAGGGGAAGAAUUACAUUUGUCUGUAAUCUCAAAGGCUAGGAAGGAUGGAGCUGGGUGGAUUUGGGAUCACCAUGAAAAGGACCUAUGAGUAAGUCAGGCCUGCGUAGAGGUGAUCUGGAAGCCCCCAGCUGCACCCUCAAUUGGAAAGGGGCUGUGGAGGGGUCUUGAACAUGACUUAGCAAAUGGAGCUAGAUUCCUUCAAUGCUCCAUCCAGCCAUAAAUCAAUGAAAUAGCUCCCUCCUUCUUUUUCUCUGCCUUCCAAACUGAACUACUGUAUCUCUUGCAAAACCAAUUGGAUAAUUCUGUGUUAAGCUUCCUGUCUCCCACCCUGAGCAACCACAGAUGAAUGAUGGUUGUUGCAGAGAUGGGCAAGUCUGGCUUCUGAGAGCUGCCAUUGAACUUCUCUGUGCUGAGCUGGCAUUAGCUCCUCUCCUCUCCCCUCCCCACCCUGCUUAGAGAAUCCUCUCCACAUUUGGAGGUUUGUGUCACCCUUCUACGUGACCAGGGCUUCUGUCCCAUGAGAAGAGAAGGGACAGGAGGACUCUGUCUGAAAGUUCUGAGUUGUAGAUUUGCCCAUGGGCCAGACAUCAGGCUCUGUCCAUGAGGUGACCCAAGUCACCAGAGGAAAAGUGUCUGUCCCCAAUCUCCACAUUAAAUUUGCCUUGGGCCUCAA
RNAcentral lists this long non-coding RNA (1605 nucleotides) under Homo sapiens (human). RNAcentral describes it as "novel transcript". The record is from RNAcentral. Lineage: Eukaryota; Metazoa; Chordata; Mammalia; Primates; Hominidae.